RNAcentral lists this long non-coding RNA (1058 nucleotides) under Homo sapiens (human). RNAcentral's name for it is "long non-coding RNA NONHSAT152334.1". The record is from RNAcentral. Lineage: Eukaryota; Metazoa; Chordata; Mammalia; Primates; Hominidae.
CGGGCGACGACCGAACGCCCCCGGGAACACCGGGCCCCGAGCUCGGUCCCGCGCCCGAGGAUCCUCCACGGGGCUAGAUGGCUGCGUCGGGGGCGGGAGCGGAGGCAACUCCGGCCUUCCCUGCCCUGACCUGGAACCUCUGGGAGGGCUGCAGAGUAAGUGCCGCCUCUGCGCUCCGACGGAGGCACGAGGCCUGUGGAGUAGGUCCCUCUGUUCCGACAGGUGCGACACUUGGCGCUCCAUGCUUGCGGGUGCCGGGAGGCCUGGCCUCCCCCAGGGCCGCCACCUCUGCUGGUUGCUCUGUGCUUUCACCUUAAAGCUCUGCCAAGCAGAGGCUCCCGUGCAGGAAGAGAAGCUGUCAGCAAGCACCUCAAAUUUGCCAUGCUGGCUGGUGGAAGAGUUUGUGGUAGCAGAAGAGUGCUCUCCAUGCUCUAAUUUCCGGGCUAAAACUACCCCUGAGUGUGGUCCCACAGGAUAUGUAGAGAAAAUCACAUGCAGCUCAUCUAAGAGAAAUGAGUUCAAAAGCUGCCGCUCAGCUUUGAUGGAACAACGCUUAUUUUGGAAGUUCGAAGGGGCUGUCGUGUGUGUGGCCCUGAUCUUCGCUUGUCUUGUCAUCAUUCGUCAGCGACAAUUGGACAGAAAGGCUCUGGAAAAGGUCCGGAAGCAAAUCGAGUCCAUAUAGCUACAUUCCACCCUUGUAUCCUGGGUCUUAGAGACCCUAUCUCAGACAGUGAAAGUGAAAUGGACUGAUUUGCACUCUUGGUUCUUUGGAGCCUUGUGGUGGAAUCCCCUUUUCCCCAUCUUCUUCUUUCAGAUCAUUAAUGAGCAGAAUAAAAAGAGUAAAAUGGUUUCCUUCCCUUCUGUAACUUGGAGCAGGAAGUCAUGGGGGCAGAGAGGGAAAGGAGGUGGUUACUUAAGGCCCCAAUCUACCAAGUCUUCCCCACCACUUCUCCCUUGUUUUCCCCCUCUUCUACUACUUAUUUCAAACUUCUGGGAUACAAUUUCAGCUAAAACGUUUAUUUCUCACUCAAAACUUAUUUCCCCUCAACCCUAUACCC